AUCAAACUGCCAAGAACAAUGCUAGAUAUAUCUUAUUAAACUUGACUACUUCAAAAGCUUAGUAGCCACAUCGUCAAAUCCCCACCUCCACUCAGAUUUUGGGUUAAUAAUGGUUUUGGACGAUAAGGUCGUUCGUCAGGUUCAUCCUCUAUGCAUUUCAAGGCUAUGUCUAUAAACACUUGCCAACACUCCGGUGCAAUCUUUCCUUUGAUUUUCAGAUCAAUAUUCUCCUCAAUAAUAGACUUCCCCAUAAGUUCUUGUGACAUUGGAAAAUUUUUUGUUCCCCUUACAACUUGUAGCAGAACAACACCAAAUGCGUAAACAUCACAUUUAUGUGUGACAGUACCGUCCCUUACGUACUCCAGAGGUAAGUGGCUAGGACGACCUAAAUGUGAAAGUAUCAUCAGCCUUGUUCAAUUUAAUUGACAAAAAUCUGUUGCAGUAAGCUCAAUAAAACCGGUAAUUAUUCUGUAGCAGUAUAUAAUUAUAAGAUACUUAUAGAACAAUUACCUAUAAUUUCCGAUUGUAUUGGUUUUGACUGUUCUUUGAAAUGUGCUCCCAUUAAACUAAGGCCGAAACCUGAGAGUUUUGGGUGCAUGUUCUCAUCCAAAAGAAUGGUGGGAGGACUGAUGUUGCGGUGAAUGAUGGUGCGCUUGAGUCCGGCAUGAAGGUAGUGUAUUCCACGCGCUGCUCCUAUGCAAAUCUCUAUCCUUUUUUUCCAUGGCAGUGCUUCCCUAACCUUAUCUCCCAGGUAUCGAUCUAGAGAUCCAUUGGACAUGUAUUCUUGCACAAUGGUCUUCUCUUUUUUGUGGUUGCAAAAUCCUACAAUAGACACACAGUUUGGGUGAUGAAGCUGAAACAGUAACUUUACUUCUCUUUUGAAUAUUUCACUUUCUACCCCUUUAUAUUUCCCCUUAAAUCGCCUCACUGCGACUGCGUAAUCAGAACCAUCAAUAUGCUGGAGACAACCUUUGUAUACUUUAACCCAUCCUCCUCGUGCAAUUAGUCUGUUAUUAUCAAAAUUGUUGGUUGAUUUCUGAAUAUCAGCAAGAGAAAAAUGACGACACACUCUUCUAUUACUGUUGGAUAUUGUCUUCCAGAUGAACUUGACUCACCAAAACAUUUCAGAAACAUGAUUACGUUUCUUGCCACUGAGAUUGAACUGAGUGUCUAUGUAGUACAUACACCCAUGGUUAUAUUUUAAAGCUUCUUUUUAGACACUGUAUUCGUAUUAAUUUGGAUCAAUAAUUUAAUUUAUUGAUCAACAUCAGAUAUAAUGAAUAUGGACAGCUUUUCUUCUUCAA
Vigna angularis (adzuki bean) is the source of this 1304-nucleotide long non-coding RNA. RefSeq lists it as uncharacterized. The record is from RefSeq and is a predicted model, not a curated record. The transcript has 2 exons. NCBI's taxonomy places the organism in Eukaryota, Viridiplantae, Streptophyta, Magnoliopsida, Fabales, Fabaceae.